Monoraphidium neglectum is the source of this 82-nucleotide transfer RNA. It matches the Rfam family "tRNA". Rfam says of the family: Transfer RNA (tRNA) molecules are approximately 80 nucleotides in length. Their secondary structure includes four short double-helical elements and three loops (D, anti-codon, and T loops). The record is from Rfam. NCBI's taxonomy places the organism in Eukaryota, Viridiplantae, Chlorophyta, Chlorophyceae, Sphaeropleales, Selenastraceae.
GACUCGGUUGCUGAGUGGUUAAAAGCGCUAGACUGUAAAUCUAGUGACAGUGUCUUCGCAGGUUCAAAUCCUGCCCGCGUCA